AAAAAGGAGUUUUGUCCCAUCGGCUAAGGGCCAAGUUGGUAAUUUUUCUUACAUCUCCCCCCUGGAGCCCAGGUAUCAUACACGCCCCCUAAAAUAAAGAGCCUUGAAUACUAGAAAAAAAGCACCUAUACCUAACAAGAUUAAGUGAAUACCCAAAUUUUUUUA
Molecule: non-coding RNA, 165 nt
Rfam family: Antisense RNA which regulates isiA expression
Source: Rfam